Molecule: long non-coding RNA, 1234 nt
Organism: Alexandromys fortis (reed vole)
Lineage: Eukaryota; Metazoa; Chordata; Mammalia; Rodentia; Cricetidae
Exons: 3
Source: RefSeq, a predicted model, not a curated record
GCCACUUGGCUGCCGAGACUGAAAACUAAGUCCCAUCCUAGGCACUCAAGGGGUAGAAGGAGAGAACCGACUCCAACAAGCUGACCCCUGACCUCCACGUGUGUGCCGUGGUACUGGUAUACAUGCAAAUAAUAACUGAAGGGACACUAGCCCGCUGGAGCAUGUGGCUCUGGCAGGCCUUGCCCUUUGCCCCCUUCCCUCUGCCUUGCUAAAUGCCAUUAGAUUACAUCCUCCUGGGGCUCACUGCCAAGGUCCAGCUGGCAAAGUAUUAAGUCCAUCAAUCAAAAGUCCUCUUUGGCUCACCGAAUUAACAUGGCCAAUUAAAGUUAAACACCUUGUUCUAACACUGUGGUGGUUUGAAAGAAAACGGCCUCCAAAGGGAGUGGCAUUAUUAGGAGGUGUGGCCUUGUUGGGGUGGGUGUGGCCUUGGUUGGAGUGGUGGUUUUAUUGGAGGAAGUGUCACCAUGGAGGUGGGGUUUGAGGUCUCAUAUCAGCUCAAACCACUCUUAGUGCCUCAGAUCACUUCCUGUUGCCUGCAGUCAAGAUGUAAGACACUUGGUCACUUCUCCAGCACCACAUCUGCCUGCACGCCACCAUGUUGCACCGUGAGGAUAAUAAACUAAGCCUCUGAAAAUGACACGAAGAGGAAGGUCAUCACCAUGUAGGCGCACUUCAAAAAGUUCCAUCCGCCCUUCUUCACAAGGACCCUGGCUGUGGUGCUGGCCGGGGGAGACUUCACUAAAGAAAGGGGGCAAGAAGAACUGAUAACACCCGGAAAUCCCUGGCCCUCUGGCACUCCAAACUGGUGUCCUUCCUCUGUGUAUCUCCUGGGUUGAAUUUUUGUUGUUGUUACACGAGAUGUUGUGGUCAUCACUCGGCUCCCAGACAAUCCCUCUGCGCUUUGACUUCUCCUCACACCUAGGCAUCACGAUGUAACCCCUCUACGUACAGCACCCAGCCAGUGCACUGGAAAAAAAGCCACUCAGGGAACCCCAUCCGCUCUGUGGGAACCUCACCGAAGUCUCUCUUUUUGUCGUUUUGACUCUUUGUUUAAUUUGAUUUGGUUUUUGAAACAGGAUGCCAAUGACUCAGGUGGCUUCCAACUCAAUAUGUAGGUGUCCAUCAAGAGCAGAAGAGGACAUCAGAUCCCCCUGGAGAUGGAGUUACAAGCAGAGAAGAAUCACCAGAUGUGGGUGGGAUCUGAACUCAGAUCCUCUUAAUCACUGAACCAUCU